This 328-nucleotide ribosomal RNA is filed under the name uncultured eukaryote. RNAcentral describes it as "partial 18S ribosomal RNA". It matches the Rfam family "Eukaryotic small subunit ribosomal RNA", at positions 1470 to 1796 of the family's 1831-position model. The record is from RNAcentral.
CCCUUAGAUGCUCUGGGCCGCACGCGCGCUACACUGGUCGAUGCAACGAGUUUCUUUCCUUGGCCGACAGGCCUGGGCAAUCUUUGAACAUCGAUCGUGAUCGGGAUAGAUUCUUGUAAUUUUUGAUCUUAAACGAGGAAUUCCUAGUAAACGCAAGUCAUCAGCUUGCGUUGAUUACGUCCCUGCCCUUUGUACACACCGCCCGUCGCUCCUACCGAUUGAAUGGUCCGGUGAAGCGUUCGGACCGUGGCCUUUGGACGGUUCGCCGUCUGUUGGCUGCGGGAAGUUCGUUAAACCUUAUCAUUUAGAGGAAGGAGAANUCGUANCA